ACGCUGGCGGCAGGCCUAACACAUGCAAGUCGAGCGGCAGCACGGGUACUUGUACCUGGUGGCGAGCGGCGGACGGGUGAGUAAUGCCUAGGAAUCUGCCUGGUAGUGGGGGAUAACGUUCGGAAACGGACGCUAAUACCGCAUACGUCCUACGGGAGAAAGUGGGGGAUCUUCGGACCUCACGCUAUCAGAUGAGCCUAGGUCGGAUUAGCUAGUUGGUGAGGUAAUGGCUCACCAAGGCGACGAUCCGUAACUGGUCUGAGAGGAUGAUCAGUCACACUGGAACUGAGACACGGUCCAGACUCCUACGGGAGGCAGCAGUGGGGAAUAUUGGACAAUGGGCGAAAGCCUGAUCCAGCCAUGCCGCGUGUGUGAAGAAGGUCUUCGGAUUGUAAAGCACUUUAAGUUGGGAGGAAGGGUUGUAGAUUAAUACUCUGCAAUUUUGACGUUACCGACAGAAUAAGCACCGGCUAACUCUGUGCCAGCAGCCGCGGUAAUACAGAGGGUGCAAGCGUUAAUCGGAAUUACUGGGCGUAAAGCGCGCGUAGGUGGUUUGUUAAGUUGAAUGUGAAAUCCCCGGGCUCAACCUGGGAACUGCAUCCAAAACUGGCAAGCUAGAGUAUGGUAGAGGGUGGUGGAAUUUCCUGUGUAGCGGUGAAAUGCGUAGAUAUAGGAAGGAACACCAGUGGCGAAGGCGACCACCUGGACUGAUACUGACACUGAGGUGCGAAAGCGUGGGGAGCAAAC
This 747-nucleotide ribosomal RNA is filed under the name uncultured bacterium. Its description in RNAcentral is "bacterial SSU rRNA". It matches the Rfam family "Bacterial small subunit ribosomal RNA", at positions 33 to 773 of the family's 1533-position model. The record is from RNAcentral.